CUUUAUGUUUAUUGACUGUCACAUGACUGGUGAACAAUUUUAACGGUAAGACUUCUGGUAGCGUGCACGAGCACCAGGUCCUCCAAAUUUCUUGGAUUCACAACGGCGAGGAUCUGCAACCAGCAGAGUCCUGUCGUACUGGAUUAGGAUAUCCUUGAUCAAUGCUUUGGAAAUAGCUUGACGGAUAGCGUAGAUUUGCGCUACGUGGCCACCACCUUUCACACGGACUCUGAUGUCAACACCAGCAAAUCUCUCCUUCCCCAGCAGGAGGACAGGUUCAAGCAGUUUGUACUGCAAAGUCCUAGGCUCAAUCAUUUCCAGAGGUCUUCCAUUCACUUUAAUGAGGCCAUUCCCUCUUUUGCAGUGGGCAACAGCAGUCGCUGUUUUCUUCCGCCCGAAGACCUGGACGCUCUGCAGGGGACCCUUGGCCGGCAUGACUGCUCCCUACUCAGGCGGCGGCACCGCGAAAAGACCGAACGGGGUUUCCCAGCCUGUAUUCAGGGGCGGGCCAGCCGUAAAGCGCACCUUGUCUUCCGGGAGCGCGGCACUGCGUCCGGCCGUGCUUUACGACAGCGCUUUGCGGCAGCAAUCGGUGGGUUGAGACGGCCUCGCUCGGCGCUUCAGGGACGUGCGCCGGCCCUCAGCGUAGUUGUAGCAUCAGUCCUCUCCACCCUUUUGGUUUUGUUCUAUUACUCUUUUUUUAAGUCUUCUUUUCUCUCACGUGCGCUUCUUCCGGACUCGUGACUGGCGCUGUAGUGCUGGAUGAGCUUUUGUCGUGUAGCUCAUUCACGAGCAGAACCCAACUGGUUUUGUGUAGUAAACAGAAUCGCGUCGUUCCCUACAGGCUGUUGAUGGGGUUUACAGUCACUGAUGAGGCCUCCUUAGUGCUCAGUAGUACACUGAUUCAGUAGCAUUCAGGCAAUUCUGUAUACCCAUGCAAAUAGCCAGCAACCACUGUAUUUAAAAUCAAGGAGAUCUGCUUGAAUUCAGGGAUCCAGGUGCCCAGAACACUGUCAGCUUGACGUUUUAGCUAUGUUUUCCAUAUUCAGUGUGUCAUCAAACAUGGAUUUUUUUGUCAUUUUCAGGCUGUGAUAUUUUACUUCUAGAGUUUGGUAUUCGCUAUGCAGAAUUCUCCAGAAGUACAAAAGGAGAAGCCAUCAAGUAGGCAAGGUGAUGAUUCUUAGAGAUUUUAAACAAUAGAGAUUUAGAUUACUAUGAUUAAUGUGAAAGUUGACUGCUCAAAUGAAACAAUCAGUUCUUCUGUCUUUGGAUAGAAUUUUAAAUACUGAACAUGAGUCAUCAGUCAUGUGAGGGUUUAAAUGAGCACUUAGCUUUAUGCAAUUGGAGUGAUUAGUUCUAUUCAAGUGAAUAGUACUGUGCAGAGCAUGUAAGAUUUAGCACAUCUCAAACCCCUGAUUGUGCAAAGCCUCAACAUGUGACCUGAGAAGUGUUUGCUUUUGUUUUUUAAAGCUGUUUUCUAAGAAAUGGUGUUUAUGCAGUCACACACGUCUGUCAUCCACUCCUUCCCCAUCACCGGGGGAAGGGGAAUGGUAGCCAAUGUGUUGGCUACUUUCAGGUAGUUAUCCCAGGAGAAUGGGAAUUUGAAAAACAAUUUUGUUCGCACAUAUUUGGUGAAAAUAGGUGACUCUGUGUUAGAGAUAUUUUACUUGCAUAAUGAAAGCAGAUGCAGGGGCUGAAGUAUUGGGAAUCACAAAACCUACAUUCAGAUGAAAAGUAGAACAUAGUACCUACUUAACCCCAUCAAAAGAGUUCAGCCAGCACUUACAAUUGAGCCAAAGGUGAGCCACUAGCAGCUGAGGUUUGUUUGGUGUUCAGGAUGCUUUGAAAGGAAGAGAGAACAAAUCUAAAUCUGUUCCUUUUGUUGGUGUUAUCUGAGGUCUGCUAAUGAGGAACUGUGUAUUAACACCAAAUGCACUGUUAGUCAAAUGGCUGCUUGUGUGAAGCUUAUUUUUUGUAAGCGUUCUUUCUUGGCUCUUGCAUAAUUUAUCAUCAUUGGGAUAUUAGUCUGCUGUACAUUCUACUUAGAACUAAAAAACACUCACCCUAAAAGAACCUGUUUGUAAAGCUUGUAAUAUGCUUACGGAUAUAUAGCUUUCUGUUCGAAAAAUAAGAAAUUAAUCAGCAUAUAUUGAUAGCACAGUCUAGGGAAAAAAGAAGAAAAGAUAAAGGUUAAAUACUUUGUGCUGCUUGUUUUCUUUGCUUUCUGGCAUAAUAAUAGGAGCCACAGUGCAUUUAGCAAGUAGUUACUGCAGGAAUUAGAUUGUACUGUGGGAAGUGAGAAUUAGAUAAUAAAUAUCACUGUACUCAAAAGUACCAAGAAGAAAAGGGCAGAGUGAGGAGAAGAAAUCAGGCAAAAUACUAUACUUUUGAGAAAAAUCCAAGCACUACAGUAUCCCUACUUACUAAGCACAGAACAAUUCAAAAUAGUAACAUAUCUCUAACUUCAAAGAAACAAUAAUAUAUUAAGAACCUUCAAGUACCAUCUGCUGACUCUUGUUCUCUGUUCCCUUAUACUUCUGAAAUAAUUGCACCUGUGGAAUGUGAGGCACUUGUUUGGCAGCUUCUUUUACCUGACUUUGCACAGGUGUGGAGAGGUAUACAGUAUGCAGAACUCAAUAAUCAGAGCCACAGAAAUUAAAGUGUAUUCGCUGAUAAGCUACUUUCACCAGAAAGUGCAUUUCAAGAGAAAGUCAGAAGGCGUGAACACAUCUUGCCAAGGCAUUUUUAUUGUUUCCUAAUGGGAGGAAAAAUAUUUCGAUUUGGCUGCAGUCUAAGUCCUUGAUUUCACAGUGAUUCUACACUGUACUAACAGAUGAUAUCUUGUGUAUUUUUAUACCAACCAGUAUCCUACUGCUACUAAAUCUUUUACAUGGAAGUUUAGUGAGGGUUUAAGGAAUUGAAAAUCUCUUGAUGACUGACCUC
This 2943-nucleotide long non-coding RNA is filed under the name Gallus gallus (chicken). The record is from RNAcentral. Lineage: Eukaryota; Metazoa; Chordata; Aves; Galliformes; Phasianidae.